Non-coding RNA from Pelobates cultripes (western spadefoot toad), 85 nucleotides. Lineage: Eukaryota; Metazoa; Chordata; Amphibia; Anura; Pelobatidae. The record is from the annotation of a GenBank genome assembly.
CGGCACUCCAGAUGUUUUGGACUACACCUCCCAUGAUGCUUUGCCAGCAUUAUGGGGGAUGUAGUCCACAACAUCUGGAGUGCCA